This 253-nucleotide ribosomal RNA is filed under the name uncultured bacterium. RNAcentral's name for it is "partial 16S ribosomal RNA". It matches the Rfam family "Bacterial small subunit ribosomal RNA", at positions 524 to 776 of the family's 1533-position model. The record is from RNAcentral.
UACGAGGGGGGCGAGCGUUGUUCGGAAUUAUUGGGCGUAAAGGGUGCGUAGGCGGUUUGGUAAGUCUUGUGUGAAAUCUCCAGGCUCAACUUGGAGUCUGCACGAGAAACUGCCGGGCUUGAGUGUGGGAGAGGUGAGUGGAAUUCCUGGUGUAGCGGUGAAAUGCGUAGAUAUCAGGAGGAACACCUGUGGCGAAAGCGGCUCACUGGACCACAACUGACGCUGAUGCACGAAAGCGAGGGGAGCAAACAGG